CUGAAUAACCAACUGUCAAACGCAGAUAAGUUUGGUUUCUUGUUUUGAAUCAUAAGCUGCUGUUUUAUGGUUGCCCACUGCAUUUGAUACGAAGAUGGGAGUUUUUGCAGUAAUUGUUGAAGUAAAAAAGAAUUAUUUAUCUCAUCUGGCAAGUUGCCGGCUUUAAUAGUGGCGAUUAGACUACGGACGUUUAUCGCAAAAGUUCAAUAUCUUUUCGGGUUGGCCGUAGAGCAUUCGAAGAAUAUCGAUGACGGCAGAGACAUUUGAUGGAUGGAUAAGCAAAUGCUGUACACUAUAAAGUGCUUCACCUUUUAAAGACUUUUGGAGACGAAUUAAGUUCUCGGCCUCCGAAAAGCAGCAAGUUGAGGUGGACCAUUCGAAAGUGGAAAUAAAUAAUGGCCAGUCUUCGGCGUGCCCGGAAAAUAUUGGCAGUUCCUUGGGAACAGAUUGUCUAGCAUUGAUGCUGCUUUGUUGCAGUAGAUUGCUAUUAUGAAAUUGGGAUGUGCUAUUGAAACUGUUCGUUUGGGGGCGCAUUGUAGAUGAAAUGGGUGCUUGAUAAAUAAAAGAUUGUGUAUUUUCGGGAUAA
Molecule: long non-coding RNA, 586 nt
Organism: Stomoxys calcitrans (stable fly)
Lineage: Eukaryota; Metazoa; Arthropoda; Insecta; Diptera; Muscidae
Exons: 2
Source: RefSeq, a predicted model, not a curated record